UGUAGGAGCCGGCUUGCUGGCGAUCCAGGCGCCGCGGUGUUUCAGGAACAUCGCGGUGAUGCUAUCGCCAGCAAGCCGGCUCCUACA
RNAcentral lists this unclassified non-coding RNA (87 nucleotides) under Pseudomonas migulae. The record is from RNAcentral. Lineage: Bacteria; Pseudomonadati; Pseudomonadota; Gammaproteobacteria; Pseudomonadales; Pseudomonadaceae.